Molecule: long non-coding RNA, 2018 nt
Filed under: Homo sapiens (human)
Lineage: Eukaryota; Metazoa; Chordata; Mammalia; Primates; Hominidae
Description: HSALNT0337212
Source: RNAcentral
UGUGUUGUACUCAUCUCUUUAUCAUAAGUGUCCUAAAUAAUGAAAGAACAAUUCUUCAAGAGAAAAGGAGUGGUCAGCCCCUUUACCCUCCUGUCAAGGAAAAUUAAGCCUGAAGGUCAUACUAUUGGAUGCUUAAAGGCCCUGCCGAUUCAUCACAAGACAGUUUCCACAAACUGAUGGGAGAGAGACACUUGCAAGGCUUAGCAGAGAACAACACUGUCAGUCUGGAGUAAGUGACAAAAAUAAGAAAGGGAAGUCUAUCCUGAUGCCCAGCCAGGGAAAAAUGGGAAGAAAGAGAAGAGAAGAGAAGAGACAGAGAGGUUAUCGCAGGAGUGGGACUGGUGACUAAAGAGGAAAUGAGACCUAAGCUAGCCUCCUUGCCAUGUGAUACUCUGCACCACCUUGAGACUCUGCAGAGAGUACCCACCAACAAGGAAGCUCUCACCAGAUGCGCCCCCUUGACCUUGGACUUCUCCACCUCCAGAACAGUACAAAAUAAAUUUCAUUUCUCAUAAAUUACUCAGUUUCAGAAAUCCUGUUUAAGCAACAGAAAAUGGACUAAGCUACUGCCCUGCUGAUCAGCCAGCCACCUGUACAUGUGCACACCCAGAUGACAUAUGCAAGAAUGUUCAGACCAUGGUAGAUGUUUCCAAAGAUGGCCCCCAUCAAGUCCUUACCCCUGUGCAUGCAUAUGCCCCUUCUCCCAUUCAGUUACCCCCCUUCCCUUGAGACUGAGUUGGUGCUGUAACUGCUUUUACCAAUAGGAUGCAGACAAAAAUAAUGUUCUGAGAAUUUCGAGAUCAAAACCUAACAGACUGAUAGCUUCCAUGUCCUUCUUCUUGGAACAUUCACUCAUAGAAUGCUCCCUCUCAGAACACAGAUACCAUGAGAGAAGUCCAACCGGGUCAUGUGGAGAGGCCACAUGGAAAAGAACUGAGGCCCAACAGCCCACACCACCUUCCAGUCAUGGGAAUGAACCUUAUUGGAUGUUCCAGCUUUGUCAAACCCCCAGAUGGCUUCAGACCCAACCAAGUUUAUGUGAAACAGAAGAGUCACACAGCUGAACCCACUCAACCCACUAAAUUGUGAGAGAUAAUAACAGGUUGUUGUUUGAAGCCACUACACUUUUUUGUGGUUAUGCCGCAACAGAAAAAUGAAACGCAGACCUCUCAAAAUCACAAGUCCACACUGUGAAUAUAUAAAUUUUAGCAAAGCACCCACUAUAGGCCUGCUUCUUUAAUAUAUAUUUUCUCAGUUAAUGCUCAAAACUAUGCUAAGACAUCAGCUUUCUCAUGGCAGAGAGAUUAUGUAAGAGGCAGAACUGAAACUCAAGGCACACUUCCUGGCCCUAAUUGAUGUGUUUGUCUCACUGCAUCUCAGAAGCUGGGACAAGUGACUCUGCGGGGUCAAUUCUCAGCUCUCUGAACAUGUAUCUGCUUUGGGGAUCAGUAUUACCAUGUGUGUUUUCAGGAUCAUGCUCUUCUAUCAUGUAGCCACCAAUGUGCGGCAAUGGAGAACUUUUUAUACAGUAUCCUAACAAAAAUUAGGAAGUCAUCAUUAGAUUCCCCCAAUCAAAUGUAUAAGACAGUACAGAAACAUAAUAAAAGCACAUCUAAAAGCCUCUUGGUAGAUUCAUGCAUCAGAUAAGAUGAUGGGUUAUACAAACUCUGAAGUCCUUUUUCUUCCAGCAAUCUAUGACCUGCCAAGCGCUGUGCAUAAUUCCUUACGUGCAUGAUCUCAUUUAACUUUCUCAAUAAGCCUAUACUUAUAAAGCAGAAACUGUUUUCUUUAGAGGUCUUUGGGGUCUUACUCUGUUACCCUGCUUGGUAUGCAGUGUGCAAACACAGCUCACUUUAACCUCAAACUCCUACACUCAGGACAUCCUCCCACCUCCACCUCCUGAGUAACUGGAACUACAGGCAAACACCACCGUGAGCAGCUAAUUUAACUUAUUUAUGUAUUUAUUUUUUAUUUGUUUAUUUUUAUCUUUUUUUAUUUUUUUAUUUUUUUGAGACAGA